Molecule: ribosomal RNA, 482 nt
Filed under: uncultured bacterium
Lineage: Bacteria
Description: partial 16S ribosomal RNA
Rfam family: Bacterial small subunit ribosomal RNA
Source: RNAcentral
AUUGAACGCUGGCGGCAUGCUUUACACAUGCAAGUCGAACGGUAACAGGCCGCAAGGUGCUGACGAGUGGCGAACGGGUGAGUAAUGCAUCGGAACGUGCCCAGUCGUGGGGGAUAACUACUCGAAAGAGUAGCUCAUACCGCAUACGAUCUAUGGAUGAAAGCGGGGGACCGUAAGGCCUCGCGCGAUUGGAGCGGCCGAUGUCAGAUUAGGUAGUUGGUGGGGUAAAGGCUCACCAAGCCAACGAUCUGUAGCUGGUCUGAGAGGACGACCAGCCACACUGGAACUGAGACACGGCCCAGACUCCUACGGGAGGCAGCAGUGGGGAAUUUUGGACAAUGGGCGCAAGCCUGAUCCAGCAAUGCCGCGUGCAGGAAGAAGGCCUUCGGGUUGUAAACUGCUUUUGUACGGAACGAAACGGCGUGGGUUAAUACCCGGGGCUAAUGACGGUACCGAAAGAAUAAGCACCGGCUAACUACGUG